RNAcentral lists this ribosomal RNA (1368 nucleotides) under Rhodobothrium sp. LRP4216. Its description in RNAcentral is "eukaryotic LSU rRNA". It matches the Rfam family "Eukaryotic large subunit ribosomal RNA", at positions 41 to 836 of the family's 3401-position model. The record is from RNAcentral. Lineage: Eukaryota; Metazoa; Platyhelminthes; Cestoda; Rhinebothriidea; Rhinebothriidae.
UAUCACUAAGCGGAGGAAAAGAAACUAACCAGGAUUCCCCUAGUAACGGCGAGUGAAGAGGGAAUAGCCCAGCACCGAAGCCUGCGGUAGUUUUACUGUUAGGCAAUGUGGUGUUUGGGUCGGCUCGCGGGGUUGCCACUCCACUCGAAGUCCAGCAUUGAGUAUGGUCCACUGGAUUUGGCCCAGAGAGGGUGAAAGGCCCGUACGGGUGGAGGUUUCAGACAAGUAAGGCAACUCACUAGGCCGGCCUUAGAGUCGGGUUGUUUGGGAAUGCAGCCCAAAGAGGGUGGUAAACUCCAUCCAAGGCUAAAUACUAGCACGAGUCCGAUAGCAAACAAGUACCGUGAGGGAAAGUUGAAAAGUACUUUGAAGAGAGAGUAAACAGUACGUGAAGCCGCAUGCAGGUAAACGGGUGGCGUCAAGCUGCAAGCCCAGAGGAUUCAGCCGGUUAGAGUGUAGUACGCGCUUGCGUGUCAAACGGCCAGUGUAAGAUUGGGUAGUCCACUGGAAGACAGUGGGCCCUGCCGCAAGGUGUGGGUGUGUGUACCGAGUGGAAGUCGGAGCACGCUAUCCGUCUGUUGGGCCAUCUAGCCGGUGCACUUUCUCUGUGGUGAACACCACGACCGGUGGAACUGCCAGUCUGCUAUGGUCAAGUCGUGUUUGGUCGGUCCUUGUGGCCUUCUGAAUGCGAUCACGGGCAAAUUCGGUGAACGGCGUAGAUGUGCUCUCGGGUAUGUCUGCGUGUUAUCGGCUACCGGUUGUCUUAACGGGCCUGCCUUACGAUUGUCAAGCCGUCGUAGGGUGGUCUGGUGGACCUUAGUGGUAAGAAUAACUGUGCAGGGCACUGGAGUUUUCGGCCUCAAAUGCAGCCAGCAUGCACGCUUGUGGUGUCAAUUGUGGGUGCUCUCGUGGCCUGCCUGUUAUCGGGUCUGAUUGUCGUGUUGCCUGCGCAAAGUGGGUUCGGCAGUGGCUCGGUGCAGGUUGGGUCUCGUGGGGUGUCUACAGUGUUGGUUGUAGUGGGCCUGAUAGUCAGUGGUGUAGUGGUAGACGAGCUACCCGACCCGUCUUGAAACACGGACCAAGGAGUUUAACAUGUGUGCAAGUCAUGGGGUCUUACGAAACCCAAAGGCGUAGUGAAAGUGAAGCUUCGUGUCCCUCGGGGCAUGGAGUGAGGUGAGAUCCCGUCGUUUCUCCGCCAGUCUCUUCGGUCAGAAGCAGGCAUUAGAGCGGCGGGCGCAUCACCGGCCCGUCCCAUGAUGUGGUCAUUGGAAAAGGCUGCUGUGGGUUCGCUUGCAGUAGUACUCCCAGUGCGUCAUCGGGGCGGAGCAUGAGCAUACAUGUUGAGACCCGAAAGAUGGUGAACUAUGC